Molecule: non-coding RNA, 290 nt
Filed under: Solanum lycopersicum (tomato)
Lineage: Eukaryota; Viridiplantae; Streptophyta; Magnoliopsida; Solanales; Solanaceae
Description: Bacterial small subunit ribosomal RNA
Rfam family: Bacterial small subunit ribosomal RNA
Source: Rfam by way of RNAcentral
CUUUUAUAUCUUUGUGAUACUAGAGUCAAAUACCAUGUUUCGGCCAAUUUGGUAAUUACCAUAUCUUUAAGAGCAGGUUGCACCCAAAGCCAUUAGGCCAAGGGCAAUGCCGCGUGGAGGUAGAAGGCCCACGGGUCGUGAACUUCUUUUCCCGGAAAAGAAGCAAUGACGGUAUCUGGGGAAUAAGCAUCGGCUAACUCUGUGCCAGCAGCCGCGGUAAUACAGAGGAUGCAAGCGUUAUCCGGAAUGAUUGGGCGUAAAGCGAGCUAACCUCCCCUACCACGUUUCUA